RNAcentral lists this ribosomal RNA (520 nucleotides) under Trichosporon asahii. RNAcentral describes it as "partial large subunit ribosomal RNA". It matches the Rfam family "Eukaryotic large subunit ribosomal RNA", at positions 142 to 653 of the family's 3401-position model. The record is from RNAcentral. Lineage: Eukaryota; Fungi; Basidiomycota; Tremellomycetes; Trichosporonales; Trichosporonaceae.
GUUGUAAUCUAUAGAGGCGUUUUCCGUGCCGGACCGUGUCCAAGUCUCCUGGAAAGGAGUAUCAAAGAGGGUGAUAAUCCCGUACUUAACACGACCACCGGUGCUCUGUGAUACGUCUUCUACGAGUCGAGUUGUUUGGGAAUGCAGCUCAAAAUGGGUGGUGAAUUCCAUCUAAAGCUAAAUAUUGGCGAGAGACCGAUAGCGAACAAGUACCGUGAGGGAAAGAUGAAAAGCACUUUGGAAAGAGAGUUAAACAGUACGUGAAAUUGUUGAAAGGGAAACGAUUGAAGUCAGUCGUGUUCUUUGGAUUCAGCCAGUUCUGCUGGUCUACUUCCUUGGAACGGGUCAACAUCAGUUUUGUCCGGUGGAUAAAGGUAGUAGGAAUGUGACUUCUCCGGAAGUGUUAUAGCCUAUUAUCACAUACACUGGGUGAGACUGAGGACUGCAGCUCGCCUUUAUGGCCGGCCUUCGGGCACGUUCGAGCUUAGGAUGUUGACAUAAUGGCUUUAAACGACCCGUC